This 435-nucleotide ribosomal RNA is filed under the name uncultured bacterium. RNAcentral's name for it is "partial 16S ribosomal RNA". It matches the Rfam family "Bacterial small subunit ribosomal RNA", at positions 28 to 507 of the family's 1533-position model. The record is from RNAcentral.
GAUGAGCGCUGGCGGUAUGCUUAACACAUGCAAGUCGAACGGACUCUUCGGAGUUAGUGGCGGACGGGUGAGUAACGCGUGAGAAUCUGGCUUUGGGUUCGGGACAACCACUGGAAACGGUGGCUAAUACCGGAUGUGCCGAGAGGUAAAAGAGAAAUUGCCUGAAGAUGAGCUCGCGUCUGAUUAGCUAGUUGGUGAGGUAAAGGCUCACCAAGGCAGCGAUCAGUAGCUGGUCUGAGAGGAUGACCAGCCACACUGGGACUGAGACACGGCCCAGACUCCUACGGGAGGCGGCAGUGGGGAAUUUUCCGCAAUGGGCGAAAGCCUGACGGAGCAAUACCGCGUGAGGGAAGAAGGCUCUUGGGUUGUAAACCUCUUUUCUUAGGGAAGAACAAAAUGACGGUACCUAAGGAAUCAGCAUCGGCUAACUCCGUG